Molecule: long non-coding RNA, 2082 nt
Organism: Drosophila pseudoobscura
Lineage: Eukaryota; Metazoa; Arthropoda; Insecta; Diptera; Drosophilidae
Exons: 2
Source: RefSeq, a predicted model, not a curated record
UCCUGCCUCCUGGUCAGUGUGACUUCCAGUAGGAGCAGGAGCGUGCGGGAGUUGGAGAGGAAGGGACACGCGGGACCGACGACGCGUCGUCCAGACAGACACUCCAAAUCGAACCAUACCCGACAGGUACAUGGGCAGGCACCUUCAUGACAGCAUGAGGGGGCGAAAGGGCAAGGGCUAAAAGGAUUUCAAAUGCACAUCCACACAUACAAAGAGCAGAAGGGGCCACGAGAGACUGAGAGAGAUAGAGCGAAAGAGAGAGAGGACGAUCGGCAAAUGCUGAUCAACGAGAGCAUGGAAUUGAGUCGGUCGGGCCGGGCCGGGCCGGGUCGGGGCUACCGAUUUAAAUGAUGUCCGUGCUCAGCAACAACAACACUUGCAGCUCUGUUUGCUUAAUGAACCAACGCACACACAUACACACUCACAUAUGUACACAAGCACACCAAGAGACGCUGAGAAACACCAAGAAAAAACCACCUUCAGCAAAUAAGCAGACAGGACGGCAACAGUCGACACAUGGAUACUCUUGCUGAGUCCAGCACCAGCCCACAGCCCAAUGACAGAGCCCAAGCCCAAGCAGGUGCCGUUAAUUGUCAUUGCCCAAGUCGGUUAGACAGACCCAAGAUGCUUCAAUUAUGCAUUCGGAACGGCUACGGACAGUAGUGAUCGCUGAUCAUCACCAAUCGAAUGGCCAUGGCCAUGCUCCCCGAGAUGCCCUCGCAGCCAGCCACCAGAAGAAGGAGAGGCAGACAACAAGCAGAUAACAACGACUGUCUCCAAGUGGGCUCAAGUACCGCUGUCGACGAUGCAGACGCAGACACAGACGACCACGACAACGACGAUGAGGGCUAAGCAGGGAAUGCGAGACACGCAGGCUGGCCAAGACGGACCGUCAAGAGGACAGACGAUGGGCAGCAGUGGCAGUGGCAGUAGAAGCUACUUCACAGAAACAGAACUCUUAUUCUGAUGAUGCGAUCGUGUUUCUUACCGAUGGUGUCUGUAUUUGUAUAUCUGUGUGUGCGUGUGUGUGAGGUGAAGAGGAAAGCAAAUCCAAGUCCCGUGGAUGUCGAGUGGACUGGAGCAGAAGGAGAGUUUUGCACACCAUUCCAUUGGCAUCCGAGCACCGGUUCCCAGUUUCCCCAGUUCUCAAUUUCGAUUCCAUUACAUCCACCCCCCCUUCCCCCCCAUCCCAUAGGCAGCAACAUCAAACGUUGUUGGACAAUGACUUUCACGCCUUUUAAGCGCGCCAAAACAGAAACACCACCAACACCAGUGCAUGGACUGGCAGCAGCAGCAAGAAGUACAGACGGCCAAGGCGACAACCCAGAUACACUUCACCCAGUAUCACAAGCUAACAUAUAUUGGAAACCAGCGUUUUCAGUUUUCCAUUCACACUCACACAGCACACAAUACUUGAUUGCUCUCAUUUUCAAUAUCAAUUUCGAACACCAAUCACUGAAGUCUUUGAUUCCGGUAAAUGUGGCAAUCGGAACAGCCUGGCUGUAUAGGAGGAGAAGGAGGAUGUGGAGGAAGAAGCGUUGCAGAAGGAGAGGAUUGAAAUUAAACAACCAAUCCAACUGACAAUUCUCAUUGGUUGCUUUUCUUCCUGCUUUUUCUCUUUCCACUCACGAGAAGUUCUUAUCGCUAUUUCGCGUGAAUUUCAAUUUUGAGAUUUGCUUAGUUGUGCGCGAUUUUCGAGCAUGAUUAACUGCGGAUGUACCAGCUCAUACACACAUCCAAAGGUCUGUCCGUACGACGUACAUAUAUGUAGAUUAAUUAUUGAUACACAUGCCGUUUAUCUAAUAUAAAAUAUUUCAAAAUAUCAUCCGGGGCUGGGGCUCGGCUUUGGUUCACUAGAGAGGUUUCGGUUUUGGCCAACUUUCUGGCCACAAUUACUCUAAAAAUUUCGAAUUCGUAUCAGGCGUUUUGGGAACAAUCUACAUACUCGUGGUUGUCUCGUUCCCGGGAACUAGGCAAUGGCGGUAUGCUGCUGCUAGGUUGCGGCUCACUUGAUCGGCGUUGUGCGGCAAAAAUAAACAAAAAACCAAGUUAAAAAAAAAACAAACGUAAACUAAGGAACUA